This 400-nucleotide ribosomal RNA is filed under the name uncultured bacterium. RNAcentral describes it as "bacterial SSU rRNA". It matches the Rfam family "Bacterial small subunit ribosomal RNA", at positions 355 to 771 of the family's 1533-position model. The record is from RNAcentral.
UAAGGAAUCUUCCACAAUGGGCGAAAGCCUGAUGGAGCAAUGCCGCGUGCAGGAUGAAUGCCUUCGGGUUGUAAACUGCUUUUAUAUGCGAAGAAUAUGACGGUAACAUAUGAAUAAGGAUCGGCUAACUCCGUGCCAGCAGCCGCGGUCAGACGGAGGAUCCGAGCGUUAUCCGGAGUGACUGGGCGUAAAGAGUUGCGUAGGCGGUUUGUUAAGUAGAUAGUGAAAUCAAGUGGCUCAACCAUUUGGCUAUUAUCUAAACUGGCAAACUUGACAAUGAGAGAGGUAGCUGGAAUUCCUAGUGUAGGAGUGAAAUCCGUAGAUAUUAGGAGGAACACCAAUGGCGUAGGCAGGCUACUGGCUCAUUUGUGACGCUGAGGCACGAAAGCGUGGGGAGCGA